Molecule: non-coding RNA, 98 nt
Organism: Marasmius fiardii PR-910
Lineage: Eukaryota; Fungi; Basidiomycota; Agaricomycetes; Agaricales; Marasmiaceae
Source: the annotation of a GenBank genome assembly
GCCUGCCUAGCUCAAUCGGAUAGAGCGUCAGACUCUUAUCUUCUGUUCUCCAGUUGCAUAUAAUCUGAAGGCUGCGAGUUCGACCCUCGCGGUGGGCU